GGGCGGGUAGCUCAGUGGGAGAGCACCUGCCUUACAAGCAGGGGGUCGGCAGUUCAAAUCUGCCACUGCCCACCA
This 75-nucleotide transfer RNA is filed under the name Clostridia bacterium. Its description in RNAcentral is "tRNA-Val". It matches the Rfam family "tRNA". Rfam says of the family: Transfer RNA (tRNA) molecules are approximately 80 nucleotides in length. Their secondary structure includes four short double-helical elements and three loops (D, anti-codon, and T loops). The record is from RNAcentral. Lineage: Bacteria; Bacillati; Bacillota; Clostridia.